Molecule: non-coding RNA, 956 nt
Filed under: Pan troglodytes (chimpanzee)
Lineage: Eukaryota; Metazoa; Chordata; Mammalia; Primates; Hominidae
Source: RNAcentral
AUCCUUGUAGGACUCUGGAGAAGAUCAAAUGGGAGCUUAGAUGUGGAAGCUCUUUGGAAACCAAGAAACACUCUGCAAAUGAAAAGGCAUAAGAAUGUUUAUCACAGCAUGGCAUAUAUUGGAAGUUUAGUAAAUGAAGAUACAUCCAAUCUGACAUUCCAUUCACAACCACAAAGAGAUAACGUAGAAACAUAUUUAGUAAUGUGAGAAAAUACUAAAUAUUAAGUGAAAAAGGUGGAAGAGUAAACUGUUCCUGUUUCUCCAUCUUGACAGGAAGCAGAAGUUCUCCUUAGCUGAUUUUUCUUCUUGCCUUAUACUGGGUUCUUUAACACCAGAACAAAAAUAAAUAAAUAAAAGAAUCUUCCAGAAAUUCAUGAAGAGACUUCAGGUCAGGAAAGCCUGAACUUUCUCAUCCAACACCUGUUCAAGUCGGAGGAUGCUGAUUAAUUCAUGAUGGAAAGGUAUCAAUUUCACAGCCCAGACCUCUACAUUCUUGAAAUGCUCUUCUCAUGGGAGACAUUAAAUAAGCUUUGAAUUAACUGAGACCUCUGUGGAUUCUAUAACUCAAAGACCCAGGCUGACGGCUGGUGGAAUAGCUACCAUCUCAAACAUGGCGUGAUGCUGCAUCAGAGAGAAAAAUAAGCUCUUGCAUUGACAAUGAAAUGUCUACCCUGUAGUGACUUGUGCUUACUUCCACUCACAAGUGAUUGCCCAGAGCUACUUACCUGGCUCCAAUCUACCACUGGGUGUGUACUUGCAAUCUACCAUGUACCUAGAAGAUGAGAGAAACAAAUUAUUAAUGAUGACCACACCCCAAGACUAACAACAAGUUGCAGAAGAAUCAAUGACUUAAACAAAAAUGUGGCCAUUGAAGGAAUAGAAAAUAUAGUGAGUUUAGUGUAAAUUUAAAAGUGAUUUAUAAGUAACAUACAAAAUCCAGAAACUAUAAGAAAACA